Molecule: ribosomal RNA, 490 nt
Filed under: uncultured bacterium
Lineage: Bacteria
Description: partial 16S ribosomal RNA
Rfam family: Bacterial small subunit ribosomal RNA
Source: RNAcentral
AUUGAACGCUGGCGGCAGGCCUAACACAUGCAAGUCGAACGGUAACAGGAAGCAGCUUGCUGCUUCGCUGACGAGUGGCGGACGGGUGAGUAAUGUCUGGGAAGCUGCCUGAUGGAGGGGGAUAACUACUGGAAACGGUAGCUAAUACCGCAUAAUGUCGCAAGACCAAAGAGGGGGACCUUCGGGCCUCUUGCCAUCGGAUGUGCCCAGAUGGGAUUAGCUUGUUGGUGGGGUAACGGCUCACCAAGGCGACGAUCCCUAGCUGGUCUGAGAGGAUGACCAGCCACACUGGAACUGAGACACGGUCCAGACUCCUACGGGAGGCGGCGGUGGGGAAUAUUGCACAAUGGGCGCAAGCCUGAUGCAGCCAUGCCGCGUGUAUGAAGAAGGCCUUCGAGUUGUAAAGUACGUUCAGCGGGGAGGAAGGGAGUAAAGUUAAUACCUUUGCUCAUUGACGUUACCCGCAGAAGAAGCACCGGCUAACUCCGUG